GUUGACCUCGGAUCAGGUAGGAAUACCCGCUGAACUUAAGCAUAUCAAUAAGCGGAGGAAAAGAAACCAACAGGGAUUGCCCCAGUAACGGCGAGUGAAGCGGCAACAGCUCAAAUUUGAAAUCUGGCCCCAGGCCCGAGUUGUAAUUUGCAGAGGAUGCUUUUGGCGCGGUGCCUUCCGAGUUCCCUGGAACGGGACGCCAUAGAGGGUGAGAGCCCCGUACGGUUGGACACCAAGUCUUUGUAAAGCUCCUUCGACGAGUCGAGUAGUUUGGGAAUGCUGCUCAAAAUGGGAGGUAUAUUUCUUCUAAAGCUAAAUAUUGGCCAGAGACCGAUAGCGCACAAGUAGAGUGAUCGAAAGAUGAAAAGCACUUUGAAAAGAGGGUUAAACAGCACGUGAAAUUGUUAAAAGGGAAGCGCUUAUGACCAGACUUGCGCCCGGUGAAUCACCCAGCUCUCGCGGCUGGGGCACUUUGCCGGCUCAGGCCAGCAUCAGCUCGCUGUCGGGGACAAAAGCUUCGGGAACGUAGCUCUCUUCGGGGAGUGUUAUAGCCCGUUGCACAAUACCCUUCGGCGGGCUGAGG
Molecule: ribosomal RNA, 583 nt
Filed under: Colletotrichum boninense
Lineage: Eukaryota; Fungi; Ascomycota; Sordariomycetes; Glomerellales; Glomerellaceae
Description: eukaryotic LSU rRNA
Rfam family: Eukaryotic large subunit ribosomal RNA
Source: RNAcentral